Long non-coding RNA from Limulus polyphemus (Atlantic horseshoe crab), 404 nucleotides. RefSeq lists it as uncharacterized. The record is from RefSeq and is a predicted model, not a curated record. The transcript is spliced from 3 exons. NCBI's taxonomy places the organism in Eukaryota, Metazoa, Arthropoda, Merostomata, Xiphosura, Limulidae.
AACUAAACCAAAGUGAUAGAAGAUCGCAUCCGAUUGGUCAGUUUAAAACUUUACAACGGCCCAAACGGAAUCAACCAAUCCUCAAGCCGGAAAUUCACCAGCAGCCUGGUAUUGACGACGCUUGCAGCGGAGUUACACAAUGUAUUCUUGCUAGCGCAGAACAAUGGGCGUUCAACACUUUUACGCUGGAUGUGGUCACAGGAGGACGCCCUCUGUCGAUAUUAUUGGUUCACUUAUUCCAGGAGUAUGGACUCAUCAAGGACUUCCAUCUGGAUGUACUGAAAGUGUAUAAAUGCUUCAGCCUCGUUGAACUGGGUUAUCACACGGAUAAUCCAUACCAUAAUGCUGUUCAUGCAGCUGACGUAACCCAGGCGAUGCAUUGCUUCAUCCAGGAGGAGAUGGUA